UGGGCUGGGGCUCAGUGGUUAGAGUGCUCGCCUAGCAUGUGUGAGGCACUGGGUUCAAUUCUCAGCACCACAU
Molecule: transfer RNA, 73 nt
Filed under: Ictidomys tridecemlineatus (thirteen-lined ground squirrel)
Lineage: Eukaryota; Metazoa; Chordata; Mammalia; Rodentia; Sciuridae
Description: Spermophilus tridecemlineatus (thirteen-lined ground squirrel) tRNA
Rfam family: tRNA
About the family: Transfer RNA (tRNA) molecules are approximately 80 nucleotides in length.
Source: Rfam by way of RNAcentral